AUUAUUACUUUGGCAGAUUAGUGUGUUUGAUUUAGGUUCAUUUUAAGUAAAAUUUUACAAGUAAUA
Molecule: transfer RNA, 66 nt
Filed under: Scarelus umbrosus
Lineage: Eukaryota; Metazoa; Arthropoda; Insecta; Coleoptera; Lycidae
Description: tRNA-Leu
Source: RNAcentral